RNAcentral lists this transfer RNA (71 nucleotides) under Prionotus evolans (striped searobin). Its description in RNAcentral is "tRNA-Met". It matches the Rfam family "tRNA". Rfam says of the family: Transfer RNA (tRNA) molecules are approximately 80 nucleotides in length. Their secondary structure includes four short double-helical elements and three loops (D, anti-codon, and T loops). RNAcentral also lists the same sequence under 1 other name. Lineage: Eukaryota; Metazoa; Chordata; Actinopteri; Perciformes; Triglidae. The record is from RNAcentral.
AGUAAAGUCAGCUAAUAUUAAGCUUUUGGGCCCAUACCCCAAGAAUGUUGGUUAAAAUCCUUCCUUUACUA